RNAcentral lists this ribosomal RNA (429 nucleotides) under Actinomycetes bacterium. RNAcentral describes it as "Actinobacteria bacterium partial 16S ribosomal RNA". It matches the Rfam family "Bacterial small subunit ribosomal RNA", at positions 355 to 776 of the family's 1533-position model. The record is from RNAcentral. Lineage: Bacteria; Bacillati; Actinomycetota; Actinomycetes.
UAGGGAAUCUUCCGCAAUGGGCGAAAGCCUGACGGAGCAACGCCGCGUGAGUGAUGAAGGUCUUCGGAUCGUAAAACUCUGUUAUUAGGGAAGAACAAAUGUGUAAGUAACUAUGCACGUCUUGUCGGUACCUAAUCAGAAAGCCACGGCUAACUACGUGCCAGCAGCCGCGGUAAUACGUAGGUGGCAAGCGUUAUCCGGAAUUAUUGGGCGUAAAGCGCGCGUAGGCGGUUUUUUAAGUCUGAUGUGAAAGCCCACGGCUCAACCGUGGAGGGUCAUUGGAAACUGGAAAACUUGAGUGCAGAAGAGGAAAGUGGAAUUCCAAGUGUAGCGGUGAAAUGCGCAGAGAUAUGGAGGAACACCAGUGGCGAAGGCGACUUUCUGGUCUGUAACUGACGCUGAUGUGCGAAAGCGUGGGGAUCAAACAGG